CAUCUACAGAAGCCAGCGGAGACGCAGGUGUGCCUUCGGGACCUGUAAGACAGGUGCUGCAUGGCUGUCGUCAGCUCGUGUUGUGAAAUGUUGGGUUAAGUCCCGCAACGAGCGCAACCCUUAUCCUUGUUUGCCAGCACUUCGGGUGGGAACUCCAGGGAGACUGCCGGUGAUAAACCGGAGGAAGGUGGGGACGACGUCAAGUCAUCAUGGCCCUUACGAGUAGGGCUACACACGUGCUACAAUGGCGCAUACAGAGGGCGGCCAACUUGCGAAAGUGAGCGAAUCCCAAAAAGUGCGUCGUAGUCCGGAUUGGAGUCUGCAACUCGACUCCAUGAAGUCGGAAUCGCUAGUAAUCGUGGAUCAGAAUGCCCCGGUGAAUACGUUCCCGGGCCUUGUACACCCCGCCCGUCACACCAUGGGAGUGGGCUGCAAAAGAAGUGGGUAGUUUAACCUUCGGGAGGACGCUCACCCCUUUGUGGUUCCUGACUGGGGGGAAGUUGUAACCAGGUAAACGAAGGGGGAAUUUCCACCCCACGGGCGCCCGUUAUAGGGGAAUCCAAAAUACG
This 569-nucleotide ribosomal RNA is filed under the name uncultured bacterium. RNAcentral's name for it is "bacterial SSU rRNA". It matches the Rfam family "Bacterial small subunit ribosomal RNA", at positions 985 to 1533 of the family's 1533-position model. The record is from RNAcentral.